CUUGGUCAUUUAGAGGAAGUAAAAGUCGUAACAAGGUUUCCGUAGGUGAACCUGCGGAAGGAUCAUUACCGAACCGUCGACACGAGUUGUUGCUGGUCCUCAAAUGGGGGCAUGUGCACACUCUGUUUACUCAUCCACUCACACCUGUGCACCCACUGUAGUUCUGUGGCUUGGGGGGCUCUGUCCUCUUUGCUGUGGUUCUAUGUCUUUACACACACACUGUAAUAAAGUUUCAUGGAAUACAUGACGCGUCUAACGCAAUACAAUACAACUUUCAGCAACGGAUCUCUUGGCUCUCGCAUCGAUGAAGAACGCAGCGAAAUGCGAUAAGUAAUGUGAAUUGCAGAAUUCAGUGAAUCAUCGAAUCUUUGAACGCACCUUGCGCCCUCUGGCUAUUCCAGAGGGCAUGCCUGUUUGAGUAUCAUGAACACCUCAACUCUCAUGGUUUUGCCGUGAUGAGCUUGGACUUUGGGGGUCUUGCUGGCCUGUGGUCAACUCCUCUCAAAUGAAUCAGCUUGCCAGUGUCUGGUGGCAUCACAGGUGUGAUAACUAUCUACGCUUGUGGUUUUCCACCAGGUAACCUUCAGUGAUGGAGGUUCGCUGGAGCUCAUAAAUGUCCCUCCUCAGCGAGGACAGCUUCUUGAAUGUUUGAUCUCAAAUCAGGUAGGGCUACCCGCUGAACUUAAGCAUAUCAAUAAGCGGAGGA
This 706-nucleotide ribosomal RNA is filed under the name uncultured Tomentella. RNAcentral describes it as "eukaryotic LSU rRNA". The stretch from base 270 to 424 matches the Rfam family "5.8S ribosomal RNA". The record is from RNAcentral. Lineage: Eukaryota; Fungi; Basidiomycota; Agaricomycetes; Thelephorales; Thelephoraceae.